RNAcentral lists this ribosomal RNA (494 nucleotides) under uncultured bacterium. Its description in RNAcentral is "bacterial SSU rRNA". It matches the Rfam family "Bacterial small subunit ribosomal RNA", at positions 29 to 509 of the family's 1533-position model. The record is from RNAcentral.
AUUGAACGCUGGCGGAAUGCUUUACACAUGCAAGUCGAACGGCAGCACGGGGCAACCUGGUGGCGAGUGGCGAACGGGUGAGUAAUAUAUCGGAACGUGCCCAAUCGUGGGGGGAUAACGUAGCGAAAGUUACGCUAAUACCGCAUACGAUCUACGGAUGAAAGCGGGGGAUCGCAAGACCUCGCGCGAAUGGAGCGGCCGAUAUCAGAUUAGGUAGUUGGUGGGGUAAAGGCUCACCAAGCCAACGAUCUGUAGCUGGUCUGAGAGGAUGGCCAGCCACACUGGAACUGAGACACGGUCCAGACUCCUACGGGAGGCAGCAGUGAGGAAUCUUGCGCAAUGGGGGAAACCCUGACGCAGCAACGCCGCGUGAGUGAGGAAGGCCUUCGGGUCGUAAAGCUCUGUCAGAUGGGAAGAAAGUGGAUGGGGGCUAAAGUACUACGCCCCAAUCCGUUGACGGUACCAUCAGAGGAAGCACCGGCUAACUCCGUGCC